AUUUGAUCUCAAGGUUUAUUCACUAC
This 26-nucleotide non-coding RNA is filed under the name Rattus norvegicus (Norway rat). Lineage: Eukaryota; Metazoa; Chordata; Mammalia; Rodentia; Muridae. The record is from RNAcentral.